Long non-coding RNA from Eupeodes corollae, 1665 nucleotides. RefSeq lists it as uncharacterized. The record is from RefSeq and is a predicted model, not a curated record. The transcript has 3 exons. Lineage: Eukaryota; Metazoa; Arthropoda; Insecta; Diptera; Syrphidae.
UAUUGGAAUUUAAAAAAAAACGAAAGCAUUUAUUAAAAAACAAAAAUGAGUUAAAAGUUCGAAUCGAACACAAAUUAAAAAAAAUAAUUGCACAUUUCCACCACCGAAUAAUUAUUGCUGCAAAAAAAAUUUAAUAACUGUUUUUAUCGGCACUAAUUUAGUCUUCGUUAUCAAUGAAGGUAAAUGAUCAUUUUACUGCAAGUGUAAUUAUUUAAAUGCACUGGGAACUGAAAGCAACGAAGCAGAAAAAAGGGUAAUGAUGAACAUUAAAACCAAAAUAUUCAACUGUCGUGACUCUCCUCUUGUAUUAAUUUGACUUGCAUAUAACUCGGGUUACAUAACUGUCGAAUUUUUAUCAUUUCUGUAAAUUUGUUUGAAAUUAUAACUCUUUUUUAAUUUAAAUAUAAUGUUUGAAAAUAGGUUUUUAGCUUUCAAUAUUCCAUCGUGAAAUUUAAUUAUAUAAAUGAGGGAAAUUAAGAAUAAGUGGCGCAACAGUCCAUGAAGAACCAGGGCCUAGUGACUUACAACUCUCAACCAUUUCUGUGAGCGAGUACUUCAUAUGGAAAGUUAAAUAAUUAAUUUGAACAAAAGCUGAAUACAGACAUUUGUCAGUUUUUUCAGCAAUAAAAUUGUUUUAAACGUGUUACAUUGAACUUAAAAUUUUCUGAUAACUAUUGAAAUGUGUUCAUAACGGAUUAUCCAUUUUGCACUUUCAAAAGUAUAGGGCUGGAAUUCAGCAUUUGUCAAACUAAGUUGUUAAAUCAUUUUUUUUUCAGUUGAAAAUCUGACAUUUACGAAAAUGGAUCGCUUAACUAUCGCACAACUCAUAAUAAUUGUUAAGAUUAUCAGCCACAUAUCAUGCUUUAAGAGAUUAUGGUUUACAUAAAAAAUAAUUGGAAAUUUGUGAAGAAAUUUGAAGAGACUGGAUUGGUUUUAUAUAUUGGAAGACCUGUGCAUCAUCGUUUCACUCGUACAACUGAAAAUUUUGCUGCUGUAACUGAAAUUGUUGCCGAAGAUACGAAUAUGCCGAUUCUUUGUCGUUUUCAAGAAUUAUUACUGUCUUACGGCACAUUAUAGCGUGUUUUGCAUUUGGAUCUACACCUACGUAAAUAUAAUAUCCAGCUCACACAAAAACUGAAACUAGCUGACAAUUCACAACAUCGUAGAUACGUAAUGGGCGCUUGAAUUUUGAAUUUUCUUCAGUGAAGAAGCACAGUUCUUACUGGGUUGGGUUUUGAGAACCUUCAAGUAAUUGAAGAGAGAAAAUUUCAUCCACACAAAGUCAAUGUUUGGUGCGCUCUUUGUAAUUGGACCAUACUUCUUGCAACACGGCGAUGUCGCCGUCAAUUUGCAGCGUUGUGGUGAUAUGAUAACCGAUUUAGUUUUCCUGCUAUUGAAGAAUACGAUUGGAGAACAUGUGGUUUUAACAAGAACUUGAUACAGAUAAGCCUUUCACUUUUAAGCACUUAAAAACCAACAUUCGUACUGUUAUGGCUGAGAUACCACCCAAUGUGUGCCAAAAAGUGGUCGAAAAUUACCUCAAAAGAAUCGUUGCUUGCAACAAUUGGGGUGGUGGCUAUUUAAAUGAUGUAGUGUUUCACACAUAAUAUCAACAUUCAAACUUUAUAAUACAAAAUAACGAACAAAAAAAUUGUAUAUGUGUUU